UGUCCGAUUCCUGUGCCCGUAGCCUGUCCAGUUUCCUCCGCCCCGUCCUGCACUUGCACGUCCCGCGUCUUGGAGAUCUGCUCUGGGGGCGUGUCCUAGAAUCAGAUUAGCAGGGAUGGCUCUGCAGUGUUAACUAGUCCCUCUCCCGCUUCAUUCGGCACUGUUUCCUGAAAAAUCAGCCUGCCUCAUUUCGCUAGCUUCACAGAGUUCCUAAGAAGUGCGUUACAGUCUACGCUCCUAAUAUUCUUUGACUUCUGAGAAUAGAAUUGUUCCUUUUGAAGGCACCAAUAGCCGUCAUCGAGCUGUAUCUUCCGGUUAGGAUCUUGGGGAGGCCUCUAGAAAUAUCGGGGUUAAGCUGGCGUUUCUCAGUAGUAUUCUGGGGGAAACCAUCUCGUGUCCUCUCUGUGUCCUUUUCCCUCUUGCUCUUAAGGACACGAACCAGUUAGAUUAGCCACAGGUUCCUCCCGGAGAGGAAGUAAAAGCUCCAGGAGAUACAGACAGGAGGCGAUCAGCCUGGCUUCCUAGCAGCCCCCACCUCUUCCAUCUUCUGAUUUAUCACCUGCCUCUGCUUGUCCAGGAUUGGGUUCUUGACCUAAUGUGCUCUUACUCUCAUCAACUUGCUUGCCCUGUUUUGACCCAGUGGUUGUACGGAGUGGGCCCAGAGUCUGAUUAUUGGGUGAGAGGGGUAGACGGUCUUUGAGGAUGGAUCCUGAUGUUGGUGGAAGAUAUUGAGACAAGAGCAGCGUUCCUUGUGCCUGUACCUAGCUUGGUGACAAACCGGAGCUGCUUCCAGGACCAUGCUGGGUUCAGGGGUCCCAGGCAGUUUUGUGUUGAUGAUAGAGUCGUGUCCCAGUUGCUUGGUGGGGCUCCUCCUUGACUCUCCUACGUAGACAAGUGGCCAUGUCUUUUGGUUUUUGGUCUUGUUAUGGAGACCAGACUAGCCUUGACCAGACUCUUUUUCUGCCUUUGUUUCUGGAAUGCUGGAUUACAGGUGUGUAUAGCUAUGGCUGGAAAUAUCCUACCUGUAUUGAUUUUUUUUUUUAUCUCAUUCUGCAGUCUAAACUAACCUGGGAACUCACUGUGUAGCUCAGGCUGGCUCAGACUCCUGCCAGCACUCCUGAGCGCUCCACCAUUUGUGUGUCACCACACAUGGCUUCCUAACUGUAUUGAGUAUGUCCUUACAGAAGCUAUCUUCUCUGCUCACAGUGUUACUUGAUUUCCUCUUUGGGGAACCUUCCAAGCCCAGUCCUCCAUGGCUUGGAGGAGCUUUUCGUUCCUGCUUCCCCCCCCCCCCCCCAAGCACUGACGGUGUGGUUUAUGCCCAGGACAGAUGAGACCAUCAGGACAACCGCUAUGGUCAGGAAAGGGUACCUGGACUGGAACUUCAUCCUACAGGAGGUCUAUAGGAGGUCUACAAGUGUCUUUGACCAGGGCUUUGCUCCGAGCUUUACUUAUCUGGAAUCUCCAGAGGUCACCUUGAAGACCAGCAUGCUAUGGCUACGUACGGGAAUAGCAGCUCCGGCCUGCUCUGCAUUUCCAGAUGUGUUUCUUCCCUUCAUCCGGCACAUGUGCUGCUGUCCAGCCCGUGUGCUCAUGCCAUUCCCAAUGUUGGAGUACUGUCUCCAUUCCAGAUCCUGCUCCUCUUCUAGUACCGCCAGCUCCCUGGAGGCGUGCAGGGGACCCACAGCUGCAGCUCUACCCAUUGGUACUUUCCUGCCGUUGUUUCCUGCCCCUACACAAUCCCUGCCAUGCAGUUGGCCUGAAGAUCAGGCUGCUGUCUUGGAGUAUGUGUUUCCUGCUCCAUGGAGCCCAUCUCUGACAGCUGCAAGCUCUCACACAAAGCUUGAUGGCAGCUGCAAAUGACCUGAAGGGACUGUCACCUUUCCUGUUGAGGUGUAAGCUAGUGGUUCUAACUCAACAGUUCUCAACCUAUGGGUUGAGACCCCUUUGGGGGUGGAAUGAUUCUUUCAUUCAUAGGCGUUGCCCAAGAUCAUCAGAAAACACAGAUACUUACAUUACAGUUCACAACAGUAGCAAAUUACAGUUAUGAAGUAGCAACAAAAGGAAUUUUAUGGUUGGAGGUCACAACAUGAGGAACUGUGUUAAAGGGCUGCAGCGUCAGGAAGGUCUAUCUGCUCUGACAGGAUAGCAGCAGGCAGGUAGAGGUUUAUCAAUCUUGGGGUCACAUUGCCCCCAUUGCUUAUAAGUUUGUAUUUUGUGACACUGUUAAUAUAAUAAAAGGUACCCCUUUGUGUGUGGGUAUCUUUUAUUCAAGGAAUUAUUUCUUUCAGCAUUGACUAGGAAAUCAGGACUUCUUAAACAGGUCACAUUAGCUAGAAGGAACUUCAGGAACAGACAACAGCAAAGUGAAGAGACUCUGCGAGGCCGCUGGGGAGUGGCUGCCUUUGAGGUGGCCUGAGGCAGGAGGGCAUCCGACUACAGUUUCUCCCUUUUAAAGAUGACCUCUCUCUUGUAAGAGAAGGUUCAGAGGAUGGUUUGCUCCAGGGAAUGUUGUCUUGGAACAAGAGGGCCUCAGCACAGAGUCUUGUGGAGACAACCUGGGGCUCCGUCACGUCCACAAGCUGUAGAGCUAUCAUGAGCUGCCAUAUGACUUGUGUCUGUGCUCAGCGUUGCCUUCCCAAGUCACCUUCAAGUGAUAAACACCGGAGAUAGAUAGAGAAUGUAUUAGUAACCUCGGGCUCUGCUAUAGUUAAUUAAAUAUCAGAGGAAACAUUCACGUAACCAGAAAAGUCUCACUUUUGACUAUUACAGCAAAACUUUCAGAAUUUGUUAGCUUAUCAUGUCCUGACUGUGAAAGUUCUUGUAACCAAACGUCUGAACCUGCUGUGUCCCAGGUACCAAUGUAGAUGCUGCUUGAAUAGUCCAUCUUCUCACUCCUCAGAGUCCCAUGUUCCCUAAAAAUACUAAAGAAGUCCUGGGUGGUACCCCAGGCGCUGGUCCACACUGACCUGGGUGGUGCCUAGGACAUGCAUUUAGAUGGAGAGGCACAGGCAUUCCUGCAAUGAGUCUGAUCUCUCCCGCUCACCUCUCAGAGCCAGCUUAGGCUCCCUGGCCCUGGCUGCCCACCCCGGAGAGCAAUGUGUCUAGCAUAAUGCAGGCGUUCUACACCCGAUGACUGACAGCCCUCUUUCUGCCUCUGCCAACUUGGGAAGGGGUGCCUUGUAAUUUCCAUUUAAGCUUCCUGUGCUUCCUGGCACCUCCAGCCCUGCUCUCCUUCCCCUAGCUUAUCCUCCCAAAGCUGGAUCUAUAUAUGUGAAUAUGCUGACUUCAGACACCCCAGAAGAGGGCAUCAGAUCCCAUUACAGGUGGUUGUGAGCCACCAUGUGGUUGCUGGGAGUUGAACUCAGGACCUCUGGAAGAGCAGUCAGUGCUCUUAACCGCUGAGCCAUCUCUCCAGCCCUGCGGAUUCACUUCUGAGCUCCUUCUUUGUCCCUCUCUCAAGUGGAAGCCCAUACUUGUGUCAAGACUUCUGUCUUAGUUAGGGUUUUACUGCUGUGAAGAGACACCAUGACCAAGGCAACUCUUAUAAGGACAACAUUUAAUUGGGGCUGGCUUACAGGUUCAGAGGUUCAGUCCAUUAUCAUCAAGGCAGGAACAUGGCAGCAUCCAGGCAGGCAUGGUGCAGGAGGAGCUGAGAGUUCUACAUCUUCAUCUGAAGCAGAAUACUGGCUUCCAGGCAGCUAGGAUGAGGGUCUUAAAGCCCACACCCACAGUGACACAUCUACUUCCACAAGGCUACACCUCCCAGUGGUGCCACUCCCAGGGCCAAGCCUAUAGAAACCAGCAUAAGCUCUGACCCCUGCCUCUGUAUGGCUUUGCUGUAGCCCAUGAUGGCCUGGAACUCAAAUCCUGCUGCUCUAGUCUCCUGGUGCCCUCAUGCCUAGCUAAGGUUUCGCUCUUCCAUCGCUUUCCUUGCUGUAUCACAUCCAACAGGGUGUCCCCGGAAAGCCUGACAGGAAGCUGACUCAGACACUUUUGGGCUGUUUCUCAUUUAAACAGUCUGGAGGAAAGCAUCUCUGGCUGGCACGAGAGCCAGCCCCAUGCAGCCAUGAGGCUCUUUCUAGAUCACUGUCUUGCCCUCCCCAGCGUAAGCCCUUCUCGUCAUGGUCCAGGGUGGCUGAUGAAGCUUGAACCAGCAAAUCUGCAUCGCUUUGUGUUCAGCCCAGUGUUUCUGUGGCUUUGGUUUUGGUCCAAAAUCGAAUGUGGACUUCCUCCGCUGACUUCUUGAUAAAAUAAGCUCGGUGAGCAGCCAUCAGAAGCGGCCUCUGUUGACACCUCUGCUGGCCCUGUGUUGUCACCAUUCUGUCUGCUCUCAGCCCCUUUUCUAAAACACACCCCAUCUUUCCCGUCUGCUGUGUAUGUCUUUUGUGGCCCAUACUCCUUUGUGUAUCCACCCAACAGGUAUUGAACGCUUACCCUGAAUAAGGGCUGCUCUGGGUUUCUGUGAGCCGUAGCAAAAGGACAGCCCUCUGGGAACUCACUCUGAAGUCUUGGAAAUGUGUGUGGGAUGGACUCUAAACAAGUAAGCAAGAGAACAGGUUUCACGGAGAAAAGCAAAGCAGGACAAGGAGCCAGGGGCUGUGCAGAUGUUCAGGGUGGGGACUUGGCUGUCGUGUGCAGUGGCCAGGGAAGGCUCACUGGUAAGGAGAUGAGGGAGCAGAGUCUGAGGGGAGGGGAGAGGGAACGCGCUGUGGGAGCAACUUCUUCAGAGAAGAUGAGAAGAGGGGGCUGAGGUGCUAGUCUGCCCGGAUGUUUGAGAAAAUAACUGACCUGUGGACUUGUUUGUAGUCUCUCUCUCCCUGCUAGAAUAUCCCUAGAAGGCAGAUAUGACCUCCUUCAUCUGUCAGGUUUUAGGAACCCACAAAUGACACCUCCAUUCCUGAGUCUAAAAUGACCAGUACCCCUUAGUCUGCUACACAAGCAGGACAGCCACUAACCUUCCUACACGGAUGGGCCAGGGACAUUGACACACACACACACACACACACACACACACACACACACACAAAGACACACAGACACAUACACAGACAGACAGACA
This is a long non-coding RNA of Mus musculus (house mouse), 5062 nucleotides long. RefSeq annotates it as predicted gene, 46554. Lineage: Eukaryota; Metazoa; Chordata; Mammalia; Rodentia; Muridae. The record is from RefSeq and is a predicted model, not a curated record. The transcript has 2 exons.